AAUACACAAAAAGGGCCAAACAAAUGGUUUCAUAGGCCCUUAAUUUGAACAUUGAGUGUAGGCAUGCGCACUACUCGUUUCAGCUUCUCUUUCUUGGCAGCUGUCCACGAGGAAAGAUGCACCUCGCGGCAAGUUCAAGAUCUAGUGCACGGACAAACAUCCAUUAUGGCGGAUUCAUGAGGACUGUACACUUGCCCUCAUAUAAAGGGAAUCUUACACCCCCAGUAACGCAAGUCGACCAGUCCAACACCAGAUGUCGGCCGGUGUAACAUUGGUUCAAGAUCUAGUGCAGGCGUGACACUUUCUCAGACAAACAUCCGUCAUGGCUCAUGUCACUCAGAUCCAGAACUGGAAAGUAAUAAUAAAGCCUGAUCCGAGAAAUUAAUGCUACCGGACAGAACCAUCUCCAAGGUCACAAAUUCCACUGUACUGGAUCAUUUCAAUAAAAGCUGCGAACAGA
Long non-coding RNA from Haliotis rubra (blacklip abalone), 460 nucleotides. RefSeq lists it as uncharacterized. Lineage: Eukaryota; Metazoa; Mollusca; Gastropoda; Lepetellida; Haliotidae. The transcript has 3 exons. The record is from RefSeq and is a predicted model, not a curated record.